RNAcentral lists this ribosomal RNA (329 nucleotides) under Phylladiorhynchus amphion. RNAcentral's name for it is "partial large subunit ribosomal RNA". It matches the Rfam family "Eukaryotic large subunit ribosomal RNA", at positions 817 to 1138 of the family's 3401-position model. The record is from RNAcentral. Lineage: Eukaryota; Metazoa; Arthropoda; Malacostraca; Decapoda; Galatheidae.
CGAAAGAUGGUGAACUAGUCCUGGCCUGGACGAAACCAGAGGAAACUCUGGCGGAGGUCCGCAGCAUUUCUGACGUGCAAAUCGAUUGUCAGAGCUGUGUUUAGGGGCGAAAGACUAAUCGAACCAUCUAGUAGCUGGUUCCCUCCGAAGUUUCCCUCAGGAAAGCUGGUACUCGGUAUUGAGUUACACCUAAUAAAGCGAAUGAUUAGAGUUGUGUGGGGAGGAAACCUCCUCACCCUAUUCUCAAACUUGAAAUGGGUGUGCGCCUGGUUUGCUUGAAUUCUUGAAGCCAGUGCGAUGAAUCAAAGAGUAUUCAGUGGGCCACUUCU